UAAAUUAAGCAUAAAAACACAUGGCGGUUGGUAGUCCGCCGCAUGAAAAUGUCAGUAACCUGCCCUCCCGGGUUGUCCAUUGCUUGAAAUCAUUUC
This is a non-coding RNA of Enterococcus avium ATCC 14025, 96 nucleotides long. Lineage: Bacteria; Bacillati; Bacillota; Bacilli; Lactobacillales; Enterococcaceae. The record is from Rfam.